UACGUAGGGCGCAAGCGUUGUCCGGAAUUAUUGGGCGUAAAGAGCUCGUAGGCGGCUUGUCACGUCGGGUGUGAAAGCCCGGGGCUUAACCCCGGGUCUGCAUUCGAUACGGGCAGGCUAGAGUGUGGUAGGGGAGAUCGGAAUUCCUGGUGUAGCGGUGAAAUGCGCAGAUAUCAGGAGGAACACCGGUGGCGAAGGCGGAUCUCUGGGCCAUUACUGACGCUGAGGAGCGAAAGUGUGGGGAGCGAACAGG
RNAcentral lists this ribosomal RNA (253 nucleotides) under uncultured bacterium. Its description in RNAcentral is "partial 16S ribosomal RNA". It matches the Rfam family "Bacterial small subunit ribosomal RNA", at positions 524 to 776 of the family's 1533-position model. The record is from RNAcentral.